RNAcentral lists this long non-coding RNA (277 nucleotides) under Sorghum bicolor (sorghum). RNAcentral's name for it is "long non-coding RNA (SBIC_LNC006773)". Lineage: Eukaryota; Viridiplantae; Streptophyta; Magnoliopsida; Poales; Poaceae. The record is from RNAcentral.
CCCACCCGCCGCCGCUGCCCAGGACCACGGCCACCAAGACUGCCGUCGCCACUGCAGCUCCGCCCAAGACAACGACCGUCGCUAGUGUGCAGUUGGCGCCCCUGCCCCUGCCAUUGCAGCUCCGCCCAAGACAACGGCCGCCGGCAACGACCCCGCCCAAGACAACGGCCGCCGCCCAAGACGACCGCUGCUGCCAUGCAGCUCCGCCCAAGACGACCACCGUUGCUGCCCAGUUGGCAUCCCCAGCCCCUGCCAUACAGCUCCUCGUACGUGGCCC